Dermacentor albipictus is the source of this 551-nucleotide non-coding RNA. The record is from RefSeq and is a predicted model, not a curated record. Lineage: Eukaryota; Metazoa; Arthropoda; Arachnida; Ixodida; Ixodidae.
CAGACGUUUGUGUGGAUGGUUCCAUUGUGAUAAGGGAAUACACCAAUCGUGGAGUGCAGAAGAGCUGUGUUGAUGAAGGUGUGGUGUUGGCACCACAUGUACUUGCAGCUGUGGCUCAGUGGCAACUGGAGGUGACUAUGCAACUUCAAAGUGGGGAGUGACUGAACAGUACGGAUAAAGAACGGGCUUCUAGCUUCCAGCUUCCAGCUUCGUAGCAUCGCAUCACAGAAUUGGUGUCCUCAUUCCAAACACAGUUCCAGUAAGGGCAUCGCAGUGCUCUGCUGUUUUCGGACGUAACCCUUCAUGGUCCGUGGCUAUGCUUCGAUCGUCGGUGACUCCUGCCAAUUCCAUUCUGUUGGCUGGCACUUCUCAGAUUUCCCGAGAGCUCGGAACCAGAAAAUGACCGACGACUGUGCACGGACCUGACGAAAUAUGUGAAAGCUUCGUCACCGUGCAGAGCAGAGUAGAUGUAUCCAGAUGUACUUCCUGGACCAUGGAAUCGUAUGAAAUAUUCAGAAGGUAUCAUAGUACUGUCCAGCCUUGGAGUGUCG